GACGAACGCUGGCGGCGUGCUUAACACAUGCAAGUCGAACGGUAAGGCCCUUCGGGGUACACGAGUGGCGAACGGGUGAGUAACACGUGGGUGAUCUGCCCUGCACUUCGGGAUAAGCCUGGGAAACUGGGUCUAAUACCGGAUAGGACCACUGCCUGCAUGGGUGGUGGUGGAAAGCUUUUGUGGUGUGGGAUGGGCCCGCGGCCUAUCAGCUUGUUGGUGGGGUGAUGGCCUACCAAGGCGACGACGGGUAGCCGGCCUGAGAGGGUGACCGACCACACUGGGACUGGGAUACGGCCCAGACUCAUACGGGAGGCAGCAGUGGGGAAUAUUGCACAAUGGGCGCAAGCCUGAUGCAGCGACGCCGCGUGAGGGAUGACGGCCUUCGGGUUGUAAACCUCUUUCAGCACCGACGAAGCGCAAGUGACGGUAGGUGCAGAAGAAGGACCGGCCAACUACGUGCCAGCAGCCGCCGUAA
This 478-nucleotide ribosomal RNA is filed under the name uncultured bacterium. Its description in RNAcentral is "partial 16S ribosomal RNA". It matches the Rfam family "Bacterial small subunit ribosomal RNA", at positions 28 to 523 of the family's 1533-position model. The record is from RNAcentral.